This 425-nucleotide ribosomal RNA is filed under the name uncultured Blastocatellaceae bacterium. RNAcentral's name for it is "bacterial SSU rRNA". It matches the Rfam family "Bacterial small subunit ribosomal RNA", at positions 354 to 796 of the family's 1533-position model. Lineage: Bacteria; Pseudomonadati; Acidobacteriota; Blastocatellia; Blastocatellales; Blastocatellaceae. The record is from RNAcentral.
GUCGGGAAUUUUGGGCAAUGGGCGAAAGCCUGACCCAGCAACGCCGCGUGAGGGAUGAAGUAUUUCGGUAUGUAAACCUCGAAAGAAUGGGAAGAAUAAAUGACGGUACCAUUUAUAAGCUCCGGCUAACUACGUGCCAGCAGCCGCGGUAAUACGUAGGGAGCAAGCGUUGUUCGGAUUUACUGGGCGUAAAGGGCGCGUAGGCGGCGCGGUAAGUCACUUGUGAAAUCUCUGAGCUUAACUCAGAACGGCCAAGUGAUACUGCUGUGCUAGAGUGCGGAAGAGGCAACCGGAAUUCUUGGUGUAGCGGUGAAAUGCGUAGAUAUCAAGAGGAACACCUGAGGCGAAGGCGGGUUGCUGGGCCGACACUGACGCUGAUGCGCGAAAGCCAGGGGAGCAAACGGGAUUAGAAACCCUAGUAGUCC